AUAAAAAAAAUACCAAAUAAGUGUAGCCCACGUGACUCGAACCUUCGCAGCCAGCUCAACAGCUACGUAGCUGCACCACCAUGCCAACCAAUCUUAUUUCUACCUUUCUGUUCAAUUGAAAUAUAACUAAUAUCAGAUUCUUCUUCCACCUUCCUUUUCUGGGUUCUUCGCAAAUCGCAAGUUCACAUCUUCAAAUCUCUGUAACUUGUAGAUGCGGCUGGCCUCAUCUAGCCAUGAUUGGACGAUCUGAUUUGGAGCUCCGCCUUCAGGCCACUUCACAGCGGCGGGCGCCCCGGUGCCGUUAGAUUUGUCUCUUCGCCGCGUUAUGCCUCUAGUCUCGAUUUGUCCAAUCUUUGAGUGAGGGAGGACAAUCAAAAUCCUAAAGUUUCGGUGGCACCCAGCCUCCGACGGUUUCACCAAGUUUCCGGCGAGUAGGGUCACUUUUCGCAGUGCAUGGGAGACAGGUGCUGGUGAGAUUUGACGGGUUUAGGUGAGUUUUGAUGCACGAUUGCCGGUGAUGGAUGAUAGAAGAGUUGCCGCUACGUUUGCCUGUGGUUGCGACGACCCUCUUCGAAGCGGUGGAGAUUGCGUGUGGUCAUAGCUGAAAGUGAGGUGGAGGAGGGUGGUCGGGGAUUGGGUCGGGUUUGGCCCUGGGUUUGCGGUAUAUUAAACAAUGAGGUCGAUCGAGGUCGAGGACUCUAAGGUCCCAGCUGCAUCGCAUGGGUUUGAUUGAUCUUUUGAUUUGGAAUUCUGAUAUUUGGUAGAUUUGGGCCAUGAACCUGAAUGAAAGUUCUUGCUCUCGAUCUUGAUCUAAUGGAAUUGGGGACCCUGGGUUUUUGUUAGUUAUGAAUUUCAGAAUUUGGGAAUCUGUGGAUGAUAAUCACGCAAAGCUACACUGGGUGUGUUGGUGUUGAUGCUGAUGAUGGCACGGUGUUGAAAGAAAGAGAAUGGAAUAACAGGUCACCCGGUCAACAUUUUCAACCGUUAGAUUUCAGACUUGAUAUCCAACGGUCUAUAAUAAGCUGACGUGCCCAAGCAUGGCAAGCUCGGAGCAUGGAAGAAUUUUCGUCCCAAGUCCUAUAAAACCAGUUUUAGCACCCCCUAAAAAGCCCCGUUGGAGAACAAAAGUCCUAUAAUUGUCCAAGUUCUGGUAUAGGGCCUCCUUGUUGGAGUUGCCCUUAAAGCGUCUUUCUUUAUCUUUUUGGUUAUUGAGAUGGGUUUUGAAAAAUUUGCCAAGGUUGAAGAGGAUGAAGGGUUUCUAGGU
Long non-coding RNA from Rosa chinensis, 1264 nucleotides. RefSeq lists it as uncharacterized. The record is from RefSeq and is a predicted model, not a curated record. The transcript has 2 exons. Lineage: Eukaryota; Viridiplantae; Streptophyta; Magnoliopsida; Rosales; Rosaceae.